Long non-coding RNA from Nicotiana tabacum (common tobacco), 352 nucleotides. RefSeq lists it as uncharacterized. Lineage: Eukaryota; Viridiplantae; Streptophyta; Magnoliopsida; Solanales; Solanaceae. The record is from RefSeq and is a predicted model, not a curated record.
UAAUAGUGCUAUCACAAGACUUCGAAGACAAUGGAGAAGGCAACAUUACUUAAGAUUUUCUUGGUCUCUUUUUUGUUUAUUUUGUUAGGACAAUCAAGCAAUGCCGCGUUAUGUUCUAAGGAUGCCGAUUGCGCUGGAAUUAUGAAAUGCAUAGAUGCAGGUCCCAAAUGUGACUUAACUAGAAAGGCGUGCUUCUGUCCAAAACCUCCAGCAGCUAAUAAUGGAGCAAAAAUGAGUUCACAAGACUGACCAAAACUGAUCUAUUUAUGUUUGUUACUAUAUGAUGUACGCCAAAAUUGAAAUCUGAUUUAGGGUUUUAUUUUUAUUACUUUGCACAAUGCAUUUUACUUUC